Molecule: small nucleolar RNA, 91 nt
Filed under: Cavia porcellus (domestic guinea pig)
Lineage: Eukaryota; Metazoa; Chordata; Mammalia; Rodentia; Caviidae
Description: Small nucleolar RNA U3
Rfam family: Small nucleolar RNA U3
About the family: Small nucleolar RNAs (snoRNAs) are involved in the processing and modification of rRNA in the nucleolus. There are two main classes of snoRNAs: the box C/D class, and the box H/ACA class.
Source: Rfam by way of RNAcentral
AAGGUUAUACUUUUAGGGAUCAUUUCUAUAGUAUGUUGCUAUAGAAGUUUCCCUGAUCAUAUAGAGUACCAGAAGAUUGGUUGUAAUAGUC